CGACAGGCUUAACACAUGCAAGUCGAGGGGCAGCACAGGUAGCAAUACCGGGUGGCGACCGGCGCACGGGUGAGUAACGCGUAUGCAACUUGCCCAUCAGAGGGGGAUAACCCGGCGAAAGUCGGACUAAUACCGCAUGAAGCAGGGAUCCCGCAUGGGAAUAUUUGCUAAAGAUUCAUCGCUGAUAGAUAGGCAUGCGUUCCAUUAGGCAGUUGGCGGGGUAACGGCCCACCAAACCGACGAUGGAUAGGGGUUCUGAGAGGAAGGUCCCCCACAUUGGUACUGAGACACGGACCAAACUCCUACGGGAGGCAGCAGUGAGGAAUAUUGGUCAAUGGCCGAGAGGCUGAACCAGCCAAGUCGCGUGAGGGAUGAAGGUUCUAUGGAUCGUAAACCUCUUUUAUAAGGGAAUAAAGUGCGGGACGUGUCCCGUUUUGUAUGUACCUUAUGAAUAAGGAUCGGCUAACUCCGUGCCAGCAGCCGCGGUAAUACGGAGGAUCCGAGCGUUAUCCGGAUUUAUUGGGUUUAAAGGGUGCGUAGGCGGCCUUUUAAGUCAGCGGUGAAAGUCUGUGGCUCAACCAUAGAAUUGCCGUUGAAACUGGGGGGCUUGAGUAUGUUUGAGGCAGGCGGAAUGCGUGGUGUAGCGGUGAAAUGCAUAGAUAUCACGCAGAACCCCGAUUGCGAAGGCAGCCUGCCAAGCCAUUACUGACGCUGAUGCACGAAAGCGUGGGGAUCAAACAGGAUUAGAUACCCUGGUAGUCCACGCAGUAAACGAUGAUCACUAGCUGUUUGCGAUACACUGUAAGCGGCACAGCGAAAGCGUUAAGUGAUCCACCUGGGGAGUACGCCGGCAACGGUGAAACUCAAAGGAAUUGACGGGGGCCCGCACAAGCGGAGGAACAUGUGGUUUAAUUCGAUGAUACGCGAGGAACCUUACCCGGGUUUGAACGCAUUCGGACCGAGGUGGAAACACCUUUUCUAGCAAUAGCCGUUUGCGAGGUGCUGCAUGGUUGUCGUCAGCUCGUGCCGUGAGGUGUCGGCUUAAGUGCCAUAACGAGCGCAACCCUUGCCACUAGUUACUAACAGGUAAAGCUGAGGACUCUGGUGGGACUGCCAGCGUAAGCUGCGAGGAAGGCGGGGAUGACGUCAAAUCAGCACGGCCCUUACAUCCGGGGCGACACACGUGUUACAAUGGCGUGGACAAAGGGAGGCCACCUGGCGACAGGGAGCGAAUCCCCAAACCACGUCUCAGUUCGGAUCGGAGUCUGCAACCCGACUCCGUGAAGCUGGAUUCGCUAGUAAUCGCGCAUCAGCCAUGGCGCGGUGAAUACGUUCCCGGGCCUUGUACACACCGCCCGUCAAGCCAUGGGAGCCGGGGGUACCUGAAGUCCGUAACCGCGAGGAUCGGCCUAGGGUAAAACUGGUGACUG
This 1430-nucleotide ribosomal RNA is filed under the name uncultured organism. RNAcentral describes it as "16S ribosomal RNA". It matches the Rfam family "Bacterial small subunit ribosomal RNA". The record is from RNAcentral.